RNAcentral lists this ribosomal RNA (301 nucleotides) under uncultured bacterium. RNAcentral's name for it is "partial 16S ribosomal RNA". It matches the Rfam family "Bacterial small subunit ribosomal RNA", at positions 509 to 809 of the family's 1533-position model. The record is from RNAcentral.
CAGCAGCCACGGUAAUACGAGGGGAGCUAGCGUUGUUCGGAAUUACUGGGCGUAAAGCGCGCGUAGGCGGCUUUUUAAGUCAGAGGUGAAAGCCCGGGGCUCAACCCCGGAAUUGCCUUUGAAACUGGAAAGCUAGAAUCUUGGAGAGGUCAGUGGAAUUCCGAGUGUAGAGGUGAAAUUCGUAGAUAUUCGGAAGAACACCAGUGGCGAAGGCGACUGACUGGACAAGUAUUGACGCUGAGGUGCGAAAGCGUGGGGAGCAAACAGGAUUAGAUACCCCGGUAGUCCCUGUCUCUUAUAA